GCCUUCGUGGUGUAACGGUAGCACACUCGGCGCGUAUUCGAGAGUUCCAGGUUCGAUUCCUGAAGAGGGCA
Molecule: transfer RNA, 71 nt
Filed under: Stegodyphus mimosarum
Lineage: Eukaryota; Metazoa; Arthropoda; Arachnida; Araneae; Eresidae
Rfam family: tRNA
About the family: Transfer RNA (tRNA) molecules are approximately 80 nucleotides in length. Their secondary structure includes four short double-helical elements and three loops (D, anti-codon, and T loops). Further hydrogen bonds mediate the characteristic L-shaped molecular structure. tRNAs have two regions of fundamental functional importance: the anti-codon, which is responsible for specific mRNA codon recognition, and the 3' end, to which the tRNAs corresponding amino acid is attached (by aminoacyl-tRNA synthetases). tRNAs cope with the degeneracy of the genetic code in two manners: having more than one tRNA (with a specific anti-codon) for a particular amino acid; and 'wobble' base-pairing, i.e. permitting non-standard base-pairing at the 3rd anti-codon position.
Source: Rfam by way of RNAcentral